This 459-nucleotide ribosomal RNA is filed under the name uncultured bacterium. Its description in RNAcentral is "partial 16S ribosomal RNA". It matches the Rfam family "Bacterial small subunit ribosomal RNA", at positions 339 to 795 of the family's 1533-position model. The record is from RNAcentral.
CUACGGGAUGCACCAGUGAGGAAUAUUGGUCAAUGGGCGCAAGCCUGAACCAGCCAUGCCGCGUGAAGGAUGACGGCCCUAUGGGUUGUAAACUUCUUUUAUACGGGAAGAAACGCCUCUACGUGUAGAGGUUUGACGGUACCGUACGAAUAAGCAUCGGCUAACUCCGUGCCAGCAGCCGCGGUAAUACGGAGGAUGCAAGCGUUAUCCGGAUUUAUUGGGUUUAAAGGGUACGUAGGCGGAAGAUUAAGUCAGUAGUGAAAUCCUGCAGCUUAACUGUAGAACUGUUAUUGAUACUGGUUUUCUUGAAUGUAGUUGAGGUAGGCGGAAUAAGUAAUGUAGCGGUGAAAUGCUUAGAUAUUACUUAGAACACCGAUUGCGAAGGCAGCUUACUAAGCUAUGAUUGACGCUGAGGUACGAAAGCGUGGGGAGCGAACAGGAUUAGAUACCCCAGUAGUC